GGACUUACAGGUGUGUCUGGUGCUCCAAAUCCAUCCUGUAAUUUCAGAUGUAAUUUUGAGAAGCCAGAGACACACCCUGGUUUGCUCAGUGAAAAGCAGCCCUCUACGAUCAGAGAGCUGCACAGUGAGGACCCAGUGACUGGUGGCUGGGAGGUGAUUGUCACAUUUACCAUCCGAGCAGGUUGUGGAAGCUGCUGUCUUCCUCUGCAGAGCGGAGCCCACCAACUUCAGGGCACUGAUAGCAGUGAUUCCUUGUGGGCACAGGCACUCUGACGACCACUGCAGAAAUGCCACCUUUGCAACUUGGCUUCUUCCUUGUGCUCAGUUGGCUGGCAGCUGAUGCAGCUCCUGCUGGGACAUAUCUGGUAAGGCAAGCACUGAGUUUGAAAUAUGUCUUUGCUUGCAAAGCAUGUCUGGGUUAGUGGUCAGUGUGAUUCCUCCUGGUAGCAGCGCAAUGAUGAAAACCAGUUGCCA
This 474-nucleotide long non-coding RNA is filed under the name Phasianus colchicus (ring-necked pheasant). RNAcentral's name for it is "lncRNA (ENSPCLG00000014721.1)". The record is from RNAcentral. Lineage: Eukaryota; Metazoa; Chordata; Aves; Galliformes; Phasianidae.